This 295-nucleotide ribosomal RNA is filed under the name uncultured microorganism. RNAcentral describes it as "partial 16S ribosomal RNA". It matches the Rfam family "Bacterial small subunit ribosomal RNA", at positions 505 to 796 of the family's 1533-position model. The record is from RNAcentral.
GUGCCAGCAGCCGCGGUAAUACGUAGGGUGCGAGCGUUGUCCGGAAUUAUUGGGCGUAAAGAGCUCGUAGGCGGUGUGUCGCGUCGGCCGUGAAAACCUGCAGCUUAACUGUGGGCGUGCGGUCGAUACGGGCAUCACUGGAGUUCGGCAGGGGAGACUGGAAUUCCUGGUGUAGCGGUGAAAUGCGCAGAUAUCAGGAGGAACACCGGGUGGGCGAAGGCGGGUCUCUGGGCCGAUACUGACGCUGAGGAGCGAAAGCGUGGGGAGCGAACAGGAUUAGAUACCCUGGUAGUCC